AUACGGGGAGUGCAAGCGUUAUUCGGAUUUAUUGGGCGUAAAGAGCGCGUAGGCGGCUUGGUAAGUCAGAUGUGAAAGCCCGGGGCUCAACCCCGGAAGUGCAUUUGAAACUAUCAGGCUUGAGUAUGGGAGCGGGAAGUGGAAUUCCUGGUGUAGAGGUGAAAUUCGUAGAUAUCAGGAGGAACACCGGUGGCGAAGGCGACUUCCUGGACCAAUACUGACGCUGAGGCGCGAAGGCGUGGGGAGCGAACAGGAUUAGAAACCCCAGUAGUCC
Molecule: ribosomal RNA, 274 nt
Filed under: uncultured bacterium
Lineage: Bacteria
Description: partial 16S ribosomal RNA
Rfam family: Bacterial small subunit ribosomal RNA
Source: RNAcentral